GCCAUGUUAGGGGAAAGACAACCAGUGCUAAUUUAUUCCUAAUCCAUGUGCCGCGUGUUCGAGUCACGCCGGGGGCACCA
Molecule: transfer RNA, 80 nt
Filed under: Deltaproteobacteria bacterium
Lineage: Bacteria; Pseudomonadati; Myxococcota; Myxococcia
Description: tRNA-OTHER
Source: RNAcentral